CCUACGGGAGACAGCAGUGGGGAAUAUUGCACAAUGGGGGAGACCCUGAUGCAGCGACGCCGCGUGAGUGAAGAAGUAUUUCGGUAUGUAAAGCUCUAUCAGCAGGGAAGAAAAAAGACGGUACCUGACUAAGAAGCCCCGGCUAACUACGUGCCAGCCGCCGCGGUAAUACGUAGGGGACCAGCGUUAGCCGGAUUUACUGGGUGUAAAGGGAGCGUAGACGGCGCGGCAAGUCUGAAGUGAAAGGUAGGGGCUUAACCCCUGAACUGCUUUGGAAACUGCCAUGCUAGAGUGCUGGAGAGGUAAGUGGAAUUAGUAGUGUAGCGGUGAAAUGCGUAGAUAUUAGGAGGAACACCAGUGGCGAAGGCGGCUUACUGGACAGUAACUGACGUUGAGGCUCGAAAGCGUGGGGAGCAAACAGGAUUAGAUACCCUAGUAGUC
Molecule: ribosomal RNA, 441 nt
Filed under: uncultured bacterium
Lineage: Bacteria
Description: partial 16S ribosomal RNA
Rfam family: Bacterial small subunit ribosomal RNA
Source: RNAcentral